GACGAACGCUGGCGGCGUGCUUAACACAUGCAAGUCAAGGGGGCCCAGCAAUGGGCAACCGGCGAACGGGUGCGUAACACGUGAGCAACCUACCGAACUGUGGGGGAUAGCCGGCCUAACGGCCGAGUAAUACCGCAUACGCUCUCAGGGAGGCAUUUCUUUGAGAGGAAACCUACGGGACAGAUCGAGGGGCUCGCGGCCUAUCAGCUAGUUGGCGAGGUAACGGCUCACCAAGGCAACGACGGGUAGCUGGUCUGAGAGGAUGGCCAGCCACAUUGGGACUGAGAUACGGCCCAGACUCCUACGGGAGGCAGCAGUGGGGAAUCUUGCGCAAUGGCCUAACGGCUGACGCAGCGACGCCGCGUGUGGGAUGAAGCUCUUCGGAGUGUAAACCACUGUUGCCCGGGACGAAUAGCUCGAUUAAUCGAGCCUGACGGUACC
RNAcentral lists this ribosomal RNA (441 nucleotides) under uncultured bacterium. Its description in RNAcentral is "bacterial SSU rRNA". It matches the Rfam family "Bacterial small subunit ribosomal RNA", at positions 28 to 479 of the family's 1533-position model. The record is from RNAcentral.